RNAcentral lists this ribosomal RNA (497 nucleotides) under uncultured bacterium. Its description in RNAcentral is "partial 16S ribosomal RNA". It matches the Rfam family "Bacterial small subunit ribosomal RNA", at positions 28 to 507 of the family's 1533-position model. The record is from RNAcentral.
GAUGAACGCUGGCGGCGUGCCUAAUACAUGCAAGUCGAGCGAACAGAUCAGGAGCUUGCUCCUUUGACGUUAGCGGCGGACGGGUGAGUAACACGUGGGUAACCUACCUAUAAGACUGGGAUAACUUCGGGAAACCGGAGCUAAUACCGGAUAACAUUUGGAACCGCAUGGUUCUAAAGUGAAAGAUGGUUUUGCUAUCACUUAUAGAUGGACCCGCGCCGUAUUAGCUAGUUGGUAAGGUAACGGCUUACCAAGGCGACGAUACGUAGCCGACCUGAGAGGGUGAUCGGCCACACGGGAACUGAGACACGGUCGAGACUCCGACGGGAGGAAGCAGUAGGGAAUCUUCCGCAAUGGGGGAAAGCCUGACGGAGCAACGCCGCGUGAGUGAUGAAGGGUUUCGGCUCGUAAAACUCUGUUAUUAGUGAAGAACAAACGUGUAAGUAACUGUGCAGGUCUUGACGGUGCCUAAUCAGAAAGCCACGGCUAACUACGUG